Molecule: long non-coding RNA, 2243 nt
Organism: Vicia villosa (hairy vetch)
Lineage: Eukaryota; Viridiplantae; Streptophyta; Magnoliopsida; Fabales; Fabaceae
Exons: 6
Source: RefSeq, a predicted model, not a curated record
AAGAGCCUGGGCAGUUGCCCAGGGUAGCCGUAUGGUGAAACCGCCUAUGCCCUUAAUCCAAAUGCUAAUUUUACGGCACUUUCGUUCUUCUUCCUUGGCUUCUUUCAUUAGGUAUGGCUUAUUUUUCUUUUAGAUUAUCUCUUAUCGAUCUAUUCUAUUUUAUCAAUUUCAAUUGAUAGUGAUCGUUCAGUGUCUUUAUAAUUUAUGUCCAUUUCUGUGUUUUAAUUUGUUGCAAAUUCUUUUUGAAAUUGUAAAAAAUUUGUUGGAUUUAGGGUAGAUUGCUGGUAGAGGUUUUCCAUCUUUCACAUAUAAGGUAAUAAAGGAUUUGUUUGUCUCUCUGCUGUUACUUUUUAUUAGAUAGAUUUUGCAUGAUUGGUGUUCCUCUUCAAAUGAUAGUUUUCUAUAUUGAUUGGUUUCAAAUUAACAUCAUAGUAUUUGACAUUUUUAUGCAUUAUGAUUUUUAGUUUUUCGAAUGGUGGCUAUACACACUCAUCCACCAUAGUAUUUGACAUUAUUUUGUUUACAGUAGAGUCUGAUAUGUAUUCUUUUGACUAAUUUCUUACUUAUGGAUGUAUUGGACUGGGAAUAGAAAUUCAAGGCACACUUGAUAAACAUUUCAAGGACUACUUUGAGCUCCAAAAUUCUCUCACAAGACAGAAAACAUUUUGUAAAGUUAAUUGUAGAUGUUGUAAUGAGACUAAAGGUGAACAACUACUAUCUUACUAAUAUAAUUAAAUUUUGGAGGAUUCAGCAAAAAGUGUGUCCAAUGUUGCUAUGUUUUUUGUCUUGGACUACAUGUCGCAUAUGGAGAAAUUUUACUAUAAAAAUUAGAUACAUUGGUGAUUUAUAUGAUACUUAUAAGUGUAUUUUAGUCAUAGCUUGGUUUUUUUUUAGUCAUUGCUUGGUUACUAUACAAUAUAAUAAAACAAAAUGAAUAUUUUAGCAAGUUUGCCACUUGGCAAGCCUACAUCUUUUCUUCUAUUUUUAACUCUCCUAUAAAUGACAACUUCCCUUAAUUGUAUUUUACUACUAUUAUUUUUUUAUUAUUUUCUUUUCUCUCAUUACUUAGCAUGACCAAAUCAUUGUUUUCUUUCGCGCUUUCGACUUUUCACUAUCAGCAGAAAUUUCACUUCCUAUUCUCAAUGCAAACCCUUCAAUGGGAUUUUCUCUUCUCCCAAUUCCUAAUCAUUAACCAUUAUUUUCUCAAUUCCUCCAUAUUCAUCCUUCCCUUCUCUCUCUGCUCUAAAAAAAACUAGAUCUCUCAUUCUACCUCCAUUGCCAUUUAGCAUCGUUAGUUGUCGUCUCUCUCUGCUUCAAAUCCGCUGAACCACAAAGAACUCUUCAAUCAUAAAGCAAGUAUCUGAUCCUACCUCUCAAUCAGUUCUCUGUUGGAAACGAAUGAAAGGAAAGGAAGCAGGAGAUUCUACGGCUCAGAGAAGAUCUGAAAUAAUCUCAAGAUGCUUUACACUGCGACUUAUUUCGUGAGAGCGCUUCUUGCAAGUGCUAUUUGUUCAAUGAUUUAGGGAAAUUAAAUCCAAAUCAUCAUGGAAAUAAAUAUUUCACCAGGUUCAAUGACGUACUUUUCCGUAGAUUUCCAAGACAAGGUGGAAUGUGAAUUAAUAGAAGGAGUCUGCUCGAUUCAAAUUGUGUAUAAUCAAAACAGGUAACCUGUGUGGAUCUAUAAAACAGGGCGGUAAUGGAGGAGACAUCAUGCAUUGGUGAUAUGAAGGAUCAGACUCAAGAGCUUCGUCAUAUCUAUAAAGCUAAACGGAAAGCAAAGGAAGUAUGAUUGAUAAUUGAUAAUGUUUAUUGUUUAUCUCUUUUAAAUGGUCAUCUUUUGAUGUGUGUUCUAUUUGACAUGUGAGCGUUAAUGCAAUAUUACUGUCAAAAUAGUCAACCUUUUGAAACUUAUCUCUAAUGCAAAAUCUGAACAAUUGUUGAUACUCAAGAACCUCAAAACACUUUAAUAUGCAGAAUAAGUGGUGGCCUAGCUUUGAUUGGCAAUAUAGUGAGUCAUCUUUAUUUGGCUAUCAAUAGCUUAUCAAAAUGAGUUUGAAAUUCUGAUGGAAACAUGCAUAGUAAAGGAAGAGAAAAUUGAAGCUAUAAAGACUAUUGUAUAUGCCAGUUCAUGAUUGCAGCAUAUGUGCAUGGCAAUUUAUUUGACAAUGUAGUGCAAUGUAGAAUGUUAAUCAAAGUAUAUUAGAGUAGCAUGUUUACUACUUCGUUGACAUGAGUAGCUCAUA